AUGCUUCUACUUUCUAUAUGGAGCUGGGAGCGUCUACCUGUUGUACGCCCGAAGAGCGUCAGGUUUAAUCCUUGGUAUGAAGAUGAAGAUGAUGAAUUACGGCGCCCCACUUGGGCUUACAAGUGGGAUGUGGUUUCCGAGAUGACGAACGAUGUCAAUCUCAUGUACUAG
RNAcentral lists this ribosomal RNA (171 nucleotides) under Triticum aestivum (bread wheat). RNAcentral's name for it is "partial small subunit ribosomal RNA". The record is from RNAcentral. Lineage: Eukaryota; Viridiplantae; Streptophyta; Magnoliopsida; Poales; Poaceae.